Molecule: long non-coding RNA, 506 nt
Filed under: Mytilus galloprovincialis (Mediterranean mussel)
Lineage: Eukaryota; Metazoa; Mollusca; Bivalvia; Mytilida; Mytilidae
Source: RNAcentral
UGUAUUAAGCUACAGCAUCUAACAAAAUAAUCAUUGUUAAUUAAAGCACUAAAACAUUAUAUGUAUGCACUAAUCUAAAGCAGUAAAACUAUUAUCAUGCAUUAAGCUAAAGAACCAAACACAAAAAUAGUGUAGACAUAUAUCUAUAUUAAGAAGAGAAAACUUUUGGAUCCACCAGUUCCAUACUUUAGAACCUGAUGGUCUCAAAGAAAAAGAUGAGAAAAGGUACACUAAAGAUAAAGAAUAAGUUUAUAAUUUGACAUAGUCGUUCAUAUCUCUGUGAUAUUGGCCAAUGGAACGUUUAAAACUGACACUACUGAUAUAUUUAUAAAAGAGGAACUUUAUCAAAUUGAUUUAUUGAGCAUCAAAAUUAAACGUACAAUGAGCUGUAAAAGUUCCUACAUCCGAUUUCACCUGGAGAGUUGCACGUCCAAUAAAGCUGGUUUCCCCAGUGAAAUAUUGCAUUUAUUUUUAUCGCAUUUUGAUAUUUAUAUACUGAACAGUAU